RNAcentral lists this ribosomal RNA (256 nucleotides) under uncultured bacterium. Its description in RNAcentral is "partial 16S ribosomal RNA". It matches the Rfam family "Bacterial small subunit ribosomal RNA", at positions 524 to 776 of the family's 1533-position model. The record is from RNAcentral.
UACGAAGGGGGGCUAGCGUUGCUCGGAAUCACUGGGCGUAAAGGGUGCGUAGGCGGGUCUUUUAAGUCAGGGGUGAAAUCCUGGAGCUCAACUCCAGAACUGCCUUUGAUACUGAAGAUCUUGAGUUCGGGGAGAGGUGAGUGGAACUGCGAGUGUAGAGGUGAAAUUCGUAGAUAUUCGCAAGAACACCAGUGGCGAAGGCGGCUCACUGGCCCGAUACUGACGCUGAGGUGCGAAAGCGUGGGGAGCAAACAGG